RNAcentral lists this ribosomal RNA (2534 nucleotides) under Kocuria flava. Its description in RNAcentral is "bacterial LSU rRNA". It matches the Rfam family "Bacterial large subunit ribosomal RNA", at positions 1 to 2384 of the family's 2925-position model. Lineage: Bacteria; Bacillati; Actinomycetota; Actinomycetes; Micrococcales; Micrococcaceae. The record is from RNAcentral.
UGUGGCAAGUUUUCAAGGGCGUACGGUGGAUGCCUUGGCAUCAGGAGCCGAUGAAGGACGCGGUAAUCUGCGAUAUGCCUCGGGGAGCUGAUAAACGAGCUGUGAUCCGAGGGUCUCCGAAUGGGGAAACCCCGCCGCGUGUUAUGCGUGGUGACCCGUACCUGAAUUCAUAGGGUGCGUGGAGGGAACGUGGGGAAGUGAAACAUCUCAGUACCCACAGGAAGAGAAAACAACAGUGAUUCCGUCAGUAGUGGCGAGCGAACGCGGAAGAGGCUAAACCGGUGGUGUGUGAUACCCGGCAGGGGUUGCAUCAUCGGGGUUGUGGGGCGUGUUCGUCCUGGGUCUGCCGGCCCGGGCGUGUGAGUGCAGGAUGAUAGUCGAACCGGUGUGAGUGCCGGGCCGUAGAGGGUGGAAGUCCCGUAGACGAAAUCGUUGCUGCCGCAUGGAGUGCGUGCCCAAGUAGCACGGGGCCCGAGAAAUCCCGUGUGAAUCUGCCAGGACCACCUGGUAAGCCUAAAUACUCCCUGAUGACCGAUAGCGGACCAGUACCGUGAGGGAAAGGUGAAAAGUACCCCGGGAGGGGAGUGAAAUAGUACCUGAAACCGUGCGCCUACAAUCCGUCGGAGCCCUGCGGGGUGACGGCGUGCCUUUUGAAGAAUGAGCCUGCGAGUUAGUGUUACGUCGCGAGGUUAACCCGUGAGGGGUAUCCGUAGCGAAAGCGAGUCCGAACAGGGCGUGUGAGUGGCGUGAUCUAGACCCGAAGCGAAGUGAUCUACCCAUGGCCAGGUUGAAGCGCGUGUAAGAGCGCGUGGAGGACCGAACCCACUUCAGUUGAAAAUGGAGGGAUGAGCUGUGGGUAGGGGUGAAAGGCCAAUCAAACUUCGUGAUAGCUGGUUCUCCCCGAAAUGCAUUUAGGUGCAGCGUUGCGUGUUUCUUGCCGGAGGUAGAGCUACUGGAUGGCCGAUGGGCCCUACAAGGUUACUGACGUCAGCCAAACUCCGAAUGCCGGUAAGUGAGAGCGCAGCAGUGAGACUGUGGGGGAUAAGCUUCAUAGUCGAGAGGGAACAGCCCAGACCACCAACUAAGGCCCCUAAGCGUGUGCUAAGUGGGAAAGGAUGUGGAGUUGCUCAGACAACCAGGAGGUUGGCUUAGAAGCAGCCACCUUGAAAGAGUGCGUAAUAGCUCACUGGUCAAGUGAUUCCGCGCCGACAAUGUAGCGGGGCUCAAGUACACCGCCGAAGUUGUGGCAUUGCACCAAUGAUACCCAACCGGUCCUUUCGGGUCCGGUUCAGGUGGUGCGAUGGGUAGGGAGCGUCGUGUGGGCAGUGAAGCUGCGGGUAACCCAGUGGUGGAGCCCACACGAGUGAGAAUGCAGGCAUGAGUAGCGAAAGACGGGUGAGAAACCCGUCCGCCGAAUGAUCAAGGGUUCCAGGGUCAAGCUAAUCUGCCCUGGGUCAGUCGGGACCUAAGGCGAGGCCGACAGGCGUAGUCGAUGGACAACGGGUUGAUAUUCCCGUACCGGCGAAGAACCGCCCUAUCGAACCGGGGACACUAACCACCCGAACCGGGCCACGCGGUGACCAUUGGUCAUCGCCGGCGCCGGGGAGCGUGGACCUGAACCGGGAGGUAAGCGUAUUAACAGGUGUGACGCAGGAAGGCAGCCGAGCCGGGCGAUGGUAGACCCGGUCCAAGCGUGUAGGGCGAUCCGUUGGCAAAUCCGCGGGUCAUGGGCCUGAGACGUGACGGACCCCAUUCGUGGGGGAUUCGGUGAUCCUAUGCUGCCGAGAAAAGCAUCGACGCGAGGUUCCAGCCGCCCGUACCCCAAACCGACACAGGUGAUCAGGUAGAGAUACCAAGGCGAUCGAGAGAAUCAUGGUUAAGGAACUCGGCAAAUGCCCCCGUAACUUCGGAGAAGGGGCCCGGACCGUGAACGGACAUGCUUCCGGGAGCGGGUAAGGGCCGCAGGACCAGGGGAAGCGACUGUUUAUCAAAAACAGGUCGUGCGAAGUCGCAAGACGAUGUAUACGGACUGACUCCUGCCCGGUGCUGGAAGGUUAAGAGACCGUUAGCCUCACGGCGAAGCGGAAUUUAAGCCCCAGUAAACGGCGGUGUAACUUAACCAUCCUAAGGUAGCGAAUUCCUUGUCGGUAAGUUCCGACCUGCACGAAUGGAGUAACGACUUCCCGCUGUCUCAACCAUGAACUCGGCGAAAUUGCAGUACGAGUAAGAUGCUCGUUACGCGCAGCAGACGGAAGACCCCGAGACCUUACUAUAGUUUGUAUUGGUGUUCGUGUGCUUGUGUAGGAUAGGUGGAGACUGUGAAGCGGCACGCCAGUGCUCGUGGAGUCAUCGUGAAUACCACUCUGGUCACUCUGGACAUUACUUCGGCCCGUGAUCCGGUCAGGACAGGCUGAUGGGUAGUUAACUGGGCGGUUGCCUCCUAAAGAGUAACGGAGGCGCCCAAAGGUUCCUCAGCCUGGUUGGCAAUCAGGUGUCGAGUGUAAGUGCACAAGGGAGCUUGACUGUGAGAGCGA